CCUUCAGGAAUUUGGAGACACAAAUUGAUGAGGUUGUUGAUGAGGAGAAGGUGGAGAGAGAAGGGGAAAAGAUAGAAGAGGAGAAAAUAGAGGAAGAUGAAGUAGAAAGGUUGAGUGAGGGAGAGAAAGAUGAGAAGAAAGAAAAAGCAGUUGAGAAAAAAGAAAAAAAAUAAGAAAAUAAGAAAAAAGAAAAAAAAGAAAGUGGAAGAAGGAGAAGGUUGAGAAAAAGAGGAAGAGAGGAAAGAAGAAAAGAUCACAUGAAAAACAUCUUCCUCAUAAAAAGAAAAAUCAUAGGAAGGGAAAUAAGUUCAAGUUGGCGAUCUUNAAGAAAUUGGAGACUAAAGUUCCUAUGAUUGAAACAUGGAAACAAUUGCUUGGAGUUCUUAAUUUUCUGAAGAAAUUCAGCAGAAAGAAGAAAAAGAAAAGAAUAGCAAGCAAAAGGGAGUAUCAACACCUACUGAUAGGCGUUUGAACUCUACCGAGUCAAGCUAAUGACGUUAAAAGAGAGCUUGUUGGGAGGUAACCCAGUUUCAGAAUUUUUUAUUUUUUUAUUUUUUUUUAUCUUUUAUUUCGUUUUGAUUUGAUUUGAUUUUAAUUUAUUUUAUUUGAUUUUAUUUUAUUUAAUUUGAUUUAAUUUGAUUUAAUUUGAUUUUAUUUUAUUUGAUUUUAUUUUAUUUUAUUUUAUUUUAUUUAUUUAUUUAUUUUUUUUUUUAUUUUUGGUUAUGCGCUUCUUCUGAUGGCAGUAAUGAUUAGCAUCUACUGAGGGAUGCUAGAAGAUUUGUGAAUCCACUGAAGGAUUCCAAGAAGGCACAACUACUGAUGGGUGUUGGAAGGUAUUGCACUUACUGACAAGUGCUAAACAGGUUUGGGUCAGGCUCGUGACAUUAAACAAGCGCUACUAGGAGGCAACCUGGUAUUUUUUCUUUUACUUUUGCAUUUUAAAUUUU
RNAcentral lists this long non-coding RNA (947 nucleotides) under Vigna radiata. RNAcentral's name for it is "long non-coding RNA (VRAD_LNC004685)". The record is from RNAcentral. Lineage: Eukaryota; Viridiplantae; Streptophyta; Magnoliopsida; Fabales; Fabaceae.